GGGCCUGGGGGAAAGCUGUCCCCACACAGCCUGGGGCCAGAGGAGCGGGAUGCCAGGGCCAGACGGAGGAAGACCGCGGGAAGCAGGCUGGACGUGCAGGGAAGGGUCCAGUCCCACCCGCGGGUGCAGGGAACAGCCUGUGGGGAGGGGACCCAGGGCCGCGUGGGAAGAGUCAGGGAGCUUAGGUGUACCGCCCGCGGCAGGAAGAGAGGGGAAGGCUGAGCAGAGAAGGGGUCCCCAAGUCAGCCAAGGCAGAGUUCCCAGGUACGAAUUCAGAGCCUGACGGUACUGGGCGGGGAGGUAGCCCCCACCUUCCUGAAGCCCCCUCCUCAGCUCUGCGAGCGUGAGGCUGGGGACGCCUGGGUAGGGCUGAGGGUGAGCCCUGGGUGUCCACCCUGCAAGUGCCUAGAGACCCCACACCUCCAGCCUCCCUCUGAAUUCAGGGUUCUCUGUCCUGAGGCUGCCCAGGGGAGCCUGGCUGGGGCGAGGUGGGCCGGACAUGGGCCUGGGCGAGUCUCACCACAGAGGGGCGCCGCUGAGCAGCCAGGCCUCCCGAGGAGGAGUGGACACUCUCCCGGGAGGCCCUGGGAUCCGCCACCCACAAGCACGCUUGGAGGCAGCAUCCUUGCAGGACUCGCGCCAGGGCCUGGGGCCCUCCAGCCAGCCCAGCACGCCACCGCCCUUCUGUCCCCAGCCACCCGCGAGAGAAUCUGGGUCGCCAGGGCCUUGUCCUUCACCAAGGCAAAGCCGGCUCAGCCUCAGAGCCGCAGGCCAGAGCACCUGUCUGCAUGAGUGUCAUGAAGACUGGAGAUGGGUCUAUCAGGACCAUCCGCAUGAUGUCAGCCAAGGAUCUCAUGGCCUGCCUCUGCCAAGGGAGGACCAGCACCUUGUCCUGAGCACUCCCAGCUUCCCAUUGCCUUCAACCUGGCUGCAUUCAGCUGCCAUGCCCCUACCUCCUGAUGUGGCCAGCACCCUCCAGGACUUCAUCUCGGUGCACUCAAAGGCCGAGGACGUUGCUGGCCAGCAGGAAAUUCCUGGUGCAUCCAGGAAGACUUCCAAGAGGUGGUGGAGCAGGGGGCACCACACCCAGACAGCUGUGUGUAAUUGUGCAGCUGCGAGCUGCUGCGGGUGCUGGCCGGAGUGCAUUCUGUGCACACUGGACUGUGUCACCACAGGCAGGCUGUUGCCGGAGGAGGAACUGUUGGCCGCCAAGGCCUAUGUGCCUGGAAACCAGCGGGGCUGCUGCAGGAGGAGGGCUGCAGGAUGCUCCAGCUCAGACCCGACUCAGGGUUUUAGAGGGCACAGGGCAUAAGGCUGUGGACAUAGACAGCCCUACUGCGCAGGAAGAGCAUAAACCAGUCAGAGGACAUGCAUGUGGGCUGCUGUUGCAUUCUGGUCUCCUUUGAGGGAAGCCCCACGGCGUGCACCAGCUGGCCACACUGCCAAUGAGUUGGAUGUGGAGGACGUAUCGCACCUUCUGGUGGCCAACAACCUGGUGGCCACCUGGAUGAGGCCCACAAGUCCCUGCUGGUAGCCCUCUCCUGAGAACUCAGAUGGCCCCUAUGCUGGCACUGCUGGCCUUGCUGUGGCUGGGGAAAGGCUGCUUCUACGAUGCCAACCCAACUGGGCUGCAGAGGGCAGGUAGGAGCAGGACUCUUCUCUGAGGAGGGCACAGAUCUUCUGUGGCCCUUGCUCUCCACCCCACAGCCUGGGCUUUGGAGCAAGCAAAGCUUGUUCAGCCCUAAUUCUGCCACCUGCCACAGGCCCUCACCUUUUGACCUUCAGUCUCCUCAUCUGUGUCCUGGUCUUUUGGGUUGUCACGGAAAUUAGCUGGAGCAGGUACCCCAGGGCCCAGCAGGUUUCCUGCAUACAGUAGGUGCUUUGUAUUUGUUUUUGCUGUGGUUUCAAUGAUAUCGGUGAAGGUUUUUGUUUGUGUGUUUUUGUCCCUGUGCCCUUCCAUACUAUACUCCUUUUCAGGUGAAAGAGGCUAUAUGUAUUUUACAUGUUGUACAUUACAAGAAAACUCAGAAGAAUUCUUUUUACAAAAGGCACAAUUCAAUUGUAUGAACAGAGUCUAACACUCUCUCAGUAAUUGUUUGAGCAAAGACAUUUUGAAAAAAAGAUCAACAAAGAUAUGUAAAAUAUAAGUAGCAAAAAAUAAAAACUUGAUGCCCUUUUAGUUUAUGUAAUAUUUCAACCUUCCUAUUUUAAAGUCUAAUAUUUUAUAUAUGUCCAGUAGAUCAUGCAUUAAAUCUAGAAUAAUUGAUGAAAUCCUAAGCUGCAUGUGUCACAGGAUUGUCAUCACACAGACCACAUUAUUUAACCUUAAUCUAAUUGUCAGAAAAAUAGCCUUCAUUUGGACAUAAAAUCACACAGAAAAAAUAAACUUCUAAAAACCGAUGAUGAAAGAAGACAUUAAAAUGAAUAUUCU
Pongo pygmaeus (Bornean orangutan) is the source of this 2431-nucleotide RNA transcript. RefSeq lists it as uncharacterized. NCBI's taxonomy places the organism in Eukaryota, Metazoa, Chordata, Mammalia, Primates, Hominidae. The transcript has 3 exons. The record is from RefSeq and is a predicted model, not a curated record.